UUUCUGAUACCAGAGGUAAUGAUUAAUAGGGACAACUGGGGGCAUUCGUAUUGCGACGUUAGAGGUGAAAUUCUUGGAUCGUCGCAAGACGGACUAAAGCGAAAGCAUUUGCCAAAGGUGUUUUCAUUAAUCAAGAACGAAAGUUAGAGGUUCGAAGGCGAUUAGAUACCGCUGUAGUUCUAACCAUAAAUGAUGCCAGCCAGCGAUCCGCCGAAGUUUCAUAAUUU
RNAcentral lists this ribosomal RNA (227 nucleotides) under Molanna angustata. Its description in RNAcentral is "partial 18S ribosomal RNA". It matches the Rfam family "Eukaryotic small subunit ribosomal RNA", at positions 847 to 1073 of the family's 1831-position model. The record is from RNAcentral. Lineage: Eukaryota; Metazoa; Arthropoda; Insecta; Trichoptera; Molannidae.